This 254-nucleotide ribosomal RNA is filed under the name uncultured prokaryote. RNAcentral's name for it is "partial 16S ribosomal RNA". It matches the Rfam family "Bacterial small subunit ribosomal RNA", at positions 523 to 776 of the family's 1533-position model. The record is from RNAcentral.
AUACAGAGGGUGCAAGCGUUGUUCGGAAUUAUUGGGCGUAAAGCGCGUGUAGGCGGCAUGGCAAGUCGGGUGUGAAAGCCCUCAGCUCAACUGAGGAAGUGCGCCCGAAACUGUCGUGCUUGAGUACCGGAGAGGAGGGCGGAAUUCCCCAAGUAGAGGUGAAAUUCGUAGAGAUGGGGAGGAACACCAGUGGCGAAGGCGGCCCUCUGGACGGAUACUGACGCUGAGACGCGAAAGCGUGGGUAGCAAACAGG